RNAcentral lists this ribosomal RNA (292 nucleotides) under uncultured bacterium. RNAcentral describes it as "partial 16S ribosomal RNA". It matches the Rfam family "Bacterial small subunit ribosomal RNA", at positions 505 to 796 of the family's 1533-position model. The record is from RNAcentral.
GUGUCAGCAGCCGCGGUAAUACGAAGGGAACUAGCGUUGUUCGGAAUCACUGGGCGUAAAGCGGGCGCAGGCGGAUAUUCAAGUCAGGGGUGAAAUCCUGAGGCUUAACCUCAGAAUUGCCUUUGAGACUGUGUAUCUGGAGUGUGUGAGGGGGUAGCGGAAUUCCGAAUGUAGAGGUGAAAUUCGUAGAUAUUCGGAGGAACACCGGUGGCGAAGGCGGCUACCUGGCACACAACUGACGCUGAGGCCCGAAAGCGUGGGGAUCAAACAGGAUUAGAUACCCGGGUAGUCC